This is a long non-coding RNA of Crotalus tigris (Tiger rattlesnake), 1247 nucleotides long. RefSeq lists it as uncharacterized. The record is from RefSeq and is a predicted model, not a curated record. NCBI's taxonomy places the organism in Eukaryota, Metazoa, Chordata, Lepidosauria, Squamata, Viperidae. The transcript is spliced from 2 exons.
UCAGGUCACGGACGAGGGGGCGUCUCCCCUCGCUGACGAUUCCCAUCCAUUUCCAGGGCGAUCCCGGCCACCCCUUUUCAAUCCCAUCGAGCUUUUGGGAGGGAGUUGAAGGGCCGCGGCAAAAGGACGAUCUGUUAAAAGCGCGGGACGGGGCUCCCUCCAAGCCGGAGACCACCAACUUUGCCGGGCACGCUUUAAGGGGCUCUCUGAGAGUUCCGGGAGGGCCAGUUUCUACCGGCUGGAGGAGGAAGAAGCGGUGAGGUCCGUCUAGUCCUCACAAGCGACGGUUUCAGCUUUUGGUGAUCAAAUCCUUGCACCAGGAAGGAAGGAACCUCUGAAGGUGGCCGAGCCAUUGCCACCCAUUCAUCCGUCCGGACGUCUCGGGGACAAAGUGAUCCGGCCCAUCUCCCUCACGCAUAUUCUUCACUUCACUACGCUAAGUGCGUAGACAACCCUCCGGUGGCUCCGUUGCCUGAAUCUCCCGGGAAAACAGCCGCCACUCUGGCCGAAGCGCGCGAAGGACAAACUUGGCUGAGGCGCUCUUGCUUCAGCCCUGCGCCUUUCCUUCCUUCCUUCCUUCCUUCCUUCCUUCCUUCCUUCCUUCCUUCCUUCCUUCCUUCCUUCCUUCCUUCCUUCCUUCCUUCCUUCCUUCCCUCCUCAAGGAAGAAACUGCCUGGGUGAAAGCCGGAGAGGUACGCGGGAUCCCUCCUUAAGCCUCUCUGGCAGCCGAGCGAAACAAUCAAGGGAGCCUCGCCUGUCGUCCCGGCAGAGUCUGCAGGAUCGCCGCUCUUCUCAGCCAGCCCGGCUGCAUCUCCCGAGGCCGGAGACAGUUCUGCGAGGCAAAAAGCCUCGCCUUGAACCAAGGCCGGGCGCCGCUGUGUGUGAGAACGAAUUGGCUGGGGCGCCUGGCAUCGCUUCCUCUGCUUCUGUGGCAUUGAAACUAAAACCGUUCCACUGGAAAGGGAGAAAUCGGUUUUCCAAAUUGCGCUCGAUCGAACCAUUUUUUUUUGGGGGGGGGAGUUCAUGAAGUUUCCCUAGCUUCCCCUUCCCCCCACCCCCACCGACCCAGUCGUUUCAGCAGGUUGAAGGGAAAAAACUUCCAACAGGCUCUUCUCUUUUCUGCAACUGAAGCUUGAUUUCCGCAGAGUUGAACCCAACACAAACAAUGGUGAUUGUAAUUUCAGGUUUCCCCUCCACUCACUGCAUGAAAGAGAAAAUACCUUUUAUUAAACACUGUCUUGAAAGGA